Molecule: ribosomal RNA, 430 nt
Filed under: uncultured bacterium
Lineage: Bacteria
Description: bacterial SSU rRNA
Rfam family: Bacterial small subunit ribosomal RNA
Source: RNAcentral
UCGGGAAUUUUGGGCAAUGGGGGAAACCCUGACCCAGCAACGCCGCGUGAGCGAUGAAGGCCUUCGGGUCGUAAAGCUCUGUCGGGAGGGAAGAAGGCCCUCGGAGUGAAUAAUUCCGGGGGAUUGACGGUACCUCCAAAGGAAGCGCCGGCUAACUCCGUGCCAGCAGCCGCGGUAAUACGGAGGGCGCAAGCGUUGUUCGGAAUCACUGGGCGUAAAGCGCGUGUAGGCGGCUUGGUAAGUCGGGUGUGAAAGCCCGGGGCCUAACCCCGGAACUGCACUCGAAACUGCCUCGCUAGAGUCUCGGAGAGGGUGGUGGAAUUCCCGGUGUAGAGGUGAAAUUCGUAGAUAUCGGGAGGAACACCAGCGGCGAAGGCGGCCACCUGGACGAUGACUGACGCUGAGACGCGAAAGCGUGGGGAGCAAACAG